Molecule: ribosomal RNA, 468 nt
Filed under: uncultured bacterium
Lineage: Bacteria
Description: partial 16S ribosomal RNA
Rfam family: Bacterial small subunit ribosomal RNA
Source: RNAcentral
GACGAACGCUGGCGGCGUGCUUAACACAUGCGAGUCGAACGGAAAGGCCCUGCUUUUGUGGGGUGCUCGAGUGGCGAACGGGUGAGUAACACGUGAGUAACCUGCCCUUGACUUUGGGAUAACUUCAGGAAACUGGGGCUAAUACCGGAUAGGAGCUCCUGCUGCAUGGUGGGGGUUGGAAAGUUUCGGCGGUUGGGGAUGGACUCGCGGCUUAUCAGCUUGUUGGUGGGGUAGUGGCUUACCAAGGCUUUGACGGGUAGCCGGCCUGAGAGGGUGACCGGCCACAUUGGGACUGAGAUACGGCCCAGACUCCUACGGGAGGCAGCAGUGGGGAAUAUUGCACAAUGGGCGGAAGCCUGAUGCAGCAACGCCGCGUGCGGGAUGACGGCCUUCGGGUUGUAAACCGCUUUCGCCUGUGACGAAGCGUGAGUGACGGUAACGGGUAAAGAAGCACCGGCUAACUACGUG